CAUCUACCACCACUAUAAACCCCAACCCAAAAUCAACCCACCACUAGCCAAUAAACUAAAAAAGAAUAAAAAAUCUCUUACCACCACUACAAAACAACCACCAUCUCAGCAAACCUUUGUCGAAAAAAUCAUGUACCGCUCUCGAAAUCGUGUAGCCGUAGCUCCGGAGGUCACGGUCUUCUUCUUCACACCCACUCUCAUUGUAAGUUUAUUUUUUUAUUUUUUAUUUUUUUAUUUUAUUUUUAACCAGCUCAUCAAUACCAUCCAUUUACAAAGUCUUUUUAAGAAGUCAAACUCAGGUGCUUCUUAUGUGAUGCCAUUUACUGCCUCCGAAAAAACCCAAGGGGUUUUCGAAUCAUAGAGCAUCAGCCACCUCUUGCUUAGAGCUCAGAAUCCUCUACCUUUACCUUUGAUAAUGGCGACUCAAAUGAUCUAAAAGUGAAAGAUUGAUUGCUGGAGACCUUAAAAGAGAAUUAGUCAUUCAUUACAUCAUUCUUUUGACAAUAUAGGCUUCAUCAUGCCCAUGUAGGAAACUCAAAGUUGUUGCCAGUCUUGUGAAGUCCAAGGCCAAGCACAUCAAAACCAAGGCUUCUGACUUCUCCCCAUCUCCUCUCAAACCCACCACAAAGGAAGCAACCUAGUUCGAGUCAGCGAAAUGGGAACCGGACAAAAUGAAGGAAUUGUUGGCUGACCCUUCGAAUCAAUUGUAGUCAUCUGACACAAGUAUUAUGGUCAACAAAUGAUGUGUUUGCCAAAGUGAUGGGUAAGGAGCGCAAGAGUCGCAUUCGUGGGGUAGGAUUUGGUCCAACCCCAAGUGGUCAAAGUAGCAAGAUUGCUCUCACAGAUAGUGAAAUACAAUCAAGUCAAGCAAGGGACAACGAAGUUGCACAAUUGAAGGAUUCCUUGGCUACUAUGGAGGAGAAACUAGCAGGUUUUGACGAAAUGAAGGAAAAAGUUAGUCAAAUCAAAGAAAUGGAGUAAAGAAUGGCUCGCAUGCUUCAACAAAUGCAACAAAUUUCUACACAAUGCAAUCAGGAUGUUCCUCUGAUCCAACAAUCUCUAGCUCUCCCCAAAUCAUCAGCUGCAUCUCAUCAACCAAGCAGCUCAUAAGUUUUAUCUUGGUGUUCAUGGACUUUUUUGUGUACUAUGGAAGAACAACUGCAUAUUUUGCAAGUGUUGAAGGAUAUUUUUAAACACUUUGGAACUUUAAUUAUAGUAUUAGAUUAAUUUGAGCGGUUGUUUUAUUCAAAGGACCACAUCUUUUUUUGUUAAUCUUAAGAUGGUGGUUAUAGACAAUGUUAUGUAUUUGAUAAUAUAUUUCUAUGUUAAUAUUACGUUAGUUUCAAGA
Molecule: long non-coding RNA, 1348 nt
Organism: Quercus lobata
Lineage: Eukaryota; Viridiplantae; Streptophyta; Magnoliopsida; Fagales; Fagaceae
Exons: 5
Source: RefSeq, a predicted model, not a curated record